This 29-nucleotide non-coding RNA is filed under the name Rattus norvegicus (Norway rat). Lineage: Eukaryota; Metazoa; Chordata; Mammalia; Rodentia; Muridae. The record is from RNAcentral.
UGUGUGUACCUGCUCUGAGGAUGUUCCUU